UGGAGGAGGAGGAGGGCACUGUUGGAGAGGUGGAGGAGGUGUGUGAGCCUGGGUGGUGGCAGUGUUGGGGGGGCUCUCAAUGUGUGCCUCUGAAUGCCACCUGUAGCGGCGUGCCCCAGUGUGCUGAUGGUUCCGACGAGUUACAAGAGAUGUGUGGUUGUCUCCCAGGCGAGUACAGCUGCCCGGACCAGUGUAUUGAUCAACUCAAGAGAGUCAUACACUUGCGCCGAUACGCAUUACAAGUGUGAUAAUGGGUUCUGUGUGCCCAGGGAUGUGCUGUGUGAUUUUGACGAUGACUGCGGUGACAGUUCCGACGAGCAUUAUUGUCUGUACAGGAAGUGUUACGAAGAGGAGUUUACGUGUGGCAACGGAGAGUGUGUGUUCCCAGGCUUCGUGUGUGACGGUGAACCUAAAUGUAGUGAUGGUAGCGACGAGACACAUUGCCAACCAGAGGACUUUGCAGUGUGUAAAUCAGGGCGGCUGGUACACAGACAUUUCUGGUGUGACGGCUCGGCAGACUGUGCUGACAACCACGCUGACGAACUCCACUGUGGGGAGUGUAGAGAAGACCAGUUUCUCUGCCCCAAUGGCCGUUGUAUACUGCAGGGGAAUGUGUGUGACGCCCAAUGUGACUGUCUCGAUUGUGCUGACGAGCGUAACUGCAGUCGCUUUUAUACCACGAGGUCUGGUGUGGCGGUGUGUCAGUUGGGCCAAUCAAUCAGGUGUGGUAUUCUGACAGGUGAUCGCCAAGAGGAGAGGUGUGUGGCAGCUGAGUAUGUGUGUGACGGCAUCGACCACUGUCACAUAGGGAAGAAGAGAUUAUCAGAUGAGCUGGAGUGUUGGCAUAUGAGCAAACCAUGUCUGCCGCCAGAGGGAGAGGUCGAACCCUGGGUCCAGUGUUCAGACGGCCGCUGUGUUCCCAAGUCUCUCCUCUGUAAUAGGGAAGGCGCGUGUCCCAACGGCCAGGACGCCAACGGGUGCCCGGUUAUGACGUGUAAGGAAGGAGAGUGGCAGUGUUUCAGUGGUCAAUGUAUUCCUCUGCAACACCACUGUGACGGUAAAUUCUAUCACUGCAAUGAUUCAUCGGACGAGCGUAACUGCAGAAAGGUGAAUGAGAAGUGUACGUCAGAUUGGCGUCCGUGUUCAGAUGGUCGGUGUAUUCCGGGAGCCUUCUUUUGUGACGAGAAGGUCGACUGUCUUAACGGUGAAGACGAGGACAACUGCACGGCGACCGUGGAGUGCGGGGAGGGGGAGUGGCAGUGUUCCAGUGGUGGGCAGUGUGUCAAUGUGUCCUACCGAUGUGAUUUAUAUUUCGAUUGUAAUGAUACGUCGGAUGAGCUUCUUUGCAGUGAUCAUGAGUGUGACCAAGACCAUAUGAAAUGUCAUUCGGGCCAGUGUGUUCGUCGGGACUACUGGUGUGACUAUGUUGUGGACUGUUUUGAUAAGUCAGACGAGAUGUACUGUGAGAUCAACAUAGGCUGUGAGGAGGGGCAGUUUCAGUGUGCUAGUGGCCAGUGUAUACCUAGUGAGGACCGGUGUGUCGUGCACCAGGGGACCACAAGAAGAGGGUGUGGCGACGGAUCCCAUUUGCUGAACUGUAAAGGAUCAAACGGAACAACUUGUGGUGAAGACAUGCACCGAUGUUUAUCCGGCCCUUGUAUACAUCAUUCGGAUAUCUGUAAUGAAAAGAUCAAUUGUCCAAACACCUGGGAUGACGAAAGCAACUGCAUAUUCUCCUGCUCCAAAAAUGCUGCCAAGUGCCGAUGUUUUAACGUAGAAGCCAACUGUUCCAGCCUUGACCUCCAGGAGUUCCCAGACACAGAGGAACAAAUAAACAUCUUUAUCUUCGCCGACAACUACUUGAACGUCACCCUCGAAGCAAAGCCGAUACGUCAAAACAUGAGUCGAGCCAUCCACCUUGAUCUAUCGAGGAACCACAUCGCUCACCUGAGGAACGACGUGUUUGCUCACCUGUGGAGAUUGAAGAUUCUUGACCUACGCGAUAACCACCUCACUAACCUCACGGCCAAUGCCUUUAAUGGCCUUCUCAACCUUAGGUCAUUACAUCUAAGUGGAAACAGCAUCACAUCCCUAGCCUCUCAUGCCUUCUAUGGUCUGACAUCCCUCGCUACGCUGGAUCUCAGCUACCAAGGAUUGACUCAUAUCUCAUCUAACGCGUUCCUUGGUCUUCGUAAACUGGCCACACUGUCUCUCUCACAUAACAAACUCGGUCACCUGCAUCAUAAAUUCUUCAGUGGUCUUCAAAACCUCAAAAAACUAGACGUCAGCCACAACUCCAUCGUCACCGUCAACUACAACACGUUUCAACACAUCCCCAAACUCAAGUUUCUAGUGUUAGACGAGUUCCGACAGUGCUGCCAGGUAAGACACAUAGCCAGAUGUGUACCAGAGGCGGACGAAUUCUCUACCUGUGAGGACCUGAUGUCUAACCUGGUACUGAGAGUGUCCAUCUGGGUCCUCGGUCUGGUAGCGCUCUUCGGCAACACCUUCGUCAUCAUCUGGAGGAGCGCCUUUAGUAGCUUCAACAAGCUAAACUCGUUCCUGAUAGUUAACCUGGCCCUAGGUGACCUCCUGAUGGGGUUUUACCUGAUAGUGGUAGGGGGCGUGGACCUACACUACCGUGGGGUAUACGCUGAGCACCAACUCUUCUGGAGGACUUCUUGGCUCUGUCAGAUGGCCGGCUUCCUCAGUACCUUCUCCUCCGAGCUCUCAGUGUUCACGCUUACGGUCAUCACCGUUGAACGCCUGAGAAUCAUUAUGCAUCCCAGUCACAACAAAAGCACAAAGCCAACGAAACUGGUGAUGGCUGGGGUAUGGAUUGUGGUGGGUGUGUUGGCUACCUUACCGCUCGUCAACCGAGAGUACUUCAAUAAUUUCUACGGGCGUUCGGGAGUCUGUCUGGCGUUGCACAUCACCCAAGAGAAGCCGAGUGGAUGGGAGUAUUCAGUCUUCAUCUUCUUGGGUCUGAAUUUCGUAUCCUUCGGGGUGAUUGCUGUCAGUUACGUGUUAAUGUACUUCGCGGUUCGUAAGACACGCAUGGAGGCGGCGAGGAUCAGUCGAAGGGAGGAUGAGAAUUUGGCCAAAAGAAUGACCCUGAUAGUGGCCACAGACGCUGCCUGCUGGUUACCCAUCAUUAUAUUGGGGGUUGUUUCCCUGUAUGGCGUCGAUGUCCCACCCAAGUAUUCAUCCUGCCUCUCAACGCUGCUGUCAACCCAGUGCUGUACACCCUCUCCACGUCCCCCGUGAGGAAGAAACUCGGUACCAUCCGUCAGAGUUUGAGUAGCCGUAACUCCGGGUCGGCCACAGGUAUCCCACUACCGCCGAUAAAGAGACCGAGGGAGUCGACCUUGAGUUCAGACGUGGUCAAAACAAGCGAUAAGGGAACAGCUGUGAACACCAAGGAUACAGUGUGUGUGUACAAACCCGGUACAGCACAUACA
This 3461-nucleotide unclassified non-coding RNA is filed under the name Homarus americanus (American lobster). Its description in RNAcentral is "g-protein coupled receptor GRL101-like, transcript variant X1". The record is from RNAcentral. Lineage: Eukaryota; Metazoa; Arthropoda; Malacostraca; Decapoda; Nephropidae.